AUGAUUUGGGAGAUCCUCCUGCUGCUGCCACCGCAGCGGCCCUCCCUCGUGCGCGCAUCCACCGUCAACACGCUCUGGCGAGGCGUCGCCACCGACCCCGACUUUAUGAGCCAGUCCCGCAGGAAGUGGAAGCCGCCUCCCCUACACGGCUUCUUUGAGCGCCGCCAGCACAAGUUCCGCUUCACCCCCGUCUUGCAUCCUCCCGACGGUAUCCCUGCCGACCGCAUUCACAUCUCAGGCUGGAUGACCUCCCGCGACUGCGACGUGACCGACUGCCGCCACGGUCGACUACUUGCCAUCGACUGCAAGUGGCUUUUUCUGUUUUCCCCCAUCACCGGCGAGGAGCGCAACCUGCCCGUUCCGCGCCAGUUCAGAAAGUGCAACUACCACAACGGGGCUGUCAUAUGUGCUGCCAGCGGACAGGACCAUGUACACGGCUUUUGCCACAACAGUCCAUUCAAGGUGGCAUUAUUGUCCAUUUUUCCUAUAGGUAAUCGAUUUGUCACCUCUGUUUACUCCUCGGAAACCCGCCAAUGGGGUCACGAUAUAUUCCUAGAUGCUCCAUUUGAAGUUGCUCUUGCUGUUGGUGUUCCUGCGACCCUUGUUCGAAAUGUGCUCUACUGGAUGCUUUCAUCAAAUAAUGUUUGUGCUGCCAUGCUUGAGUUUGAUUUGGAUAGGCAGAGCCUAGCUGUGAUCGAGGGGCCUCUUGGUCGUAAGAUUGUUUCGGGCAGCCAUAGGAUCAUCAAAACAGAGCAAGGCACAGUUGGCUGGGUCAGGUUUUCAUUUCCGAACCUAGAAAUAUGGCUGAGGAAGAAGAAUUGUCACGGUAUUGCCACAUGGCUGCAGCAUAAGACGGUUGAUAUGCAUGGCAUUCUUGGGAUCCCUCCUCGGGUUAGUAAGAAGCGGUGGCAUGAAAAAAUCCUCGCGUAUGACGAGGAGAACAAUGUGAUCAUUCUGUAUGUUCAGGACAGUGCUUACAUGCUUGAUCUUAAGUCGAUGCAAUCCACAAAACUUGAUGAAAGCCGUUUGAUGAAAUCCUGUCACCCAUUCACCAGUUUCUAUCCGCCAGACAUGGCAAUCUAA
Molecule: ribosomal RNA, 1083 nt
Filed under: Triticum aestivum (bread wheat)
Lineage: Eukaryota; Viridiplantae; Streptophyta; Magnoliopsida; Poales; Poaceae
Description: partial small subunit ribosomal RNA
Source: RNAcentral